RNAcentral lists this long non-coding RNA (1638 nucleotides) under Xyrichtys novacula (pearly razorfish). The record is from RNAcentral. Lineage: Eukaryota; Metazoa; Chordata; Actinopteri; Labriformes; Labridae.
CUUCUUCAUACACGCCAGUAGUACUUCCUGUUUGCUUUUAUAACAAACGAAUAUUAUAAGAAGGGGGAACAGGCGAAGCGGGCGACAGACGAGGGCAUUUAUUAUUAUACAAGAAAUAAACAACCCCAGGAAACAGCUACCAUGGUCUGACUGUUGAUAAAAGGUAGGAUUUAUUUUACGAAAUGUUAUUUCGAAAGCUUGACCACGCCUACUCGGAGUGAUACUGAUGUUUAUAUCGUAUUAAUCUGCUUUAGCCUCACUAUCUAUCUAUCUUGUAAACGUUACUUAAAGGUCUACAUGGCCUUUAAACUUUAGAUACCAUUAUUUUCCACUGUUAUUUGAUUUUACUAUGAUAUGAUUAAUAUGUUAUCGAGAAAUACAACCCUCCCGUUCCCUUCAUGAUGAAUUUGGUCACAUGUUUCUGUAUCCCAUGAUCACUUACAUAUAUCCUUGGUCAGCAGCUUACUUAGGAUUUUAUAUUAUUCCCCUAAUUCAAUUUUUAAAGUUGUUGAAACAUCAUCAAGUAAGUCAAUUUUUGCUUGAAAAAACAAAAACAACAAACUAACAGAACAAAAAUAAUUCAGAUAACCAAAUAAAAUUAAUUAUGCUGAUUAAUAAAGUAUCUCUCUCCCUUUUGUCUCACAUCUCAGCCAGCAUCUACGUGGUGCGGAAGAUCCGGGCCUCCAUCGCUGAGGGGGAGCAACUGGACAAGCCCAUCAUUACACCAUGUAGUGCUAGAGGUAAGACAUCAACCACUGGAUCAUAAGGUUUACACUGAUAUUUAAACAAUUACACUUUUAAGAAGAAACAAACUUUGAUUGAGCAAAGUGCAUUUUAAUAGUUAUGAGCUCUUAGGAUUUUAUUGGAUGGUCUUAAGAAACAUCAGUCCAACUUUCUAACCAUUAUGUCAUGCUGCAUGUCCUGAAGAUUAGAGGUAUUAGAGGGGAGUGAGGAGUGAAUGUGUAAGCUCUUGGAGGGGCUUUAUACUGCAUGUUACUGACUGACAUGAGUUUCUCUUUUGUGUUCAGCUGAAAUAAAAGCAGGACAUGAGGAGAGAGGAAACUCCUCAGCAGCGAUGCUCAGCUCAGGACCUGAAGAAGGAGUUGGUCUAGCAGCAGGCUCGGGGAUGUCCUCAGAGACAGCUGUGCAGAAAUGUAGCGCCUCCUCCUGACGCUAGAGACCCUGCUGGACACAGGGACUGUGGCCACCUGAAUGGAAAGAUACAAUUUGACAUCCUUGUAAUUUUGCAUUAUUGGAUUAUUCCGCUUCUGUUCAGGAUUGUACACGUCCUCAGCGGUCACCAGCUGCUCUCCUCUCCUGUGCUUGUUUAGGCUUUUUUUUUAUAGACAACAUCUAAAUUAAUCACGGACAAAAAAAACAGUUGAAACAAAAACAGAAUAAACUUAAUUAUUUUUACCCGUUUUGGUGCUAUUUACUGCUACAUGCACCUGAAUGUAAGGGAGACAUUUAAAGAACAGAAAUUAUCUGCUCAAUCAGCAUGUUGUCUGUGGGAAAAAAGCCUUUAUAUAUGUACUGCAGUGUUUGAAGGCUGUCUCACCAACCCCUCUCUAGGGGCUGAGUAGGCCUGAUGUCUUUGCUGCUGUAUCAAUGAAUAAAUACAGAAAAACUAUGUCUUUA